UCUUUCCUUGUCUGGGGGUGGAUUGGGUUGUUCAAUGAACGUGUAGUGAGAACAGCCCUGCUGACACCUAACCAACACAAUCCGCAUCACCUGAACCGCGUGUUCAGAAUAUGGUGCAAUUUUUGGAAGC
This 130-nucleotide non-coding RNA is filed under the name Sinocyclocheilus anshuiensis. Its description in RNAcentral is "U4atac minor spliceosomal RNA (ENSSANG00000015375.1)". It matches the Rfam family "U4atac minor spliceosomal RNA". From Rfam's summary of the family: U4atac is an essential component of the minor U12-type spliceosome complex which is required for removal of the rarer class of eukaryotic introns (AT-AC, U12-type). These interacting stem loops have been shown to be required for in vivo splicing. U4atac also contains an 3' Sm protein binding site which has been shown to be essential for splicing activity. Lineage: Eukaryota; Metazoa; Chordata; Actinopteri; Cypriniformes; Cyprinidae. The record is from Rfam by way of RNAcentral.